UACGUAGGGGGCUAGCGUUGUCCGGAUUUAUUGGGCGUAAAGAGCGUGUAGGCGGCCAGGUAGGUCUGCUGUGAAAACUCGAGGCUCAACCUCGAGACGUCGGCGGAAACCAUCUGGCUAGAGUCCGGAAGAGGAGAGUGGAAUUCCUGGUGUAGCGGUGAAAUGCGCAGAUAUCAGGAAGAACACCCGCGGCGAAGGCGGCUCUCUGGGACGGUACUGACGCUGAGACGCGAAAGCGUGGGGAGCGAGCAGG
This 253-nucleotide ribosomal RNA is filed under the name uncultured bacterium. RNAcentral describes it as "partial 16S ribosomal RNA". It matches the Rfam family "Bacterial small subunit ribosomal RNA", at positions 524 to 776 of the family's 1533-position model. The record is from RNAcentral.